AGCUAGCCUCUAGCCCAACCACAUCAAUAAACAACAGCCAAAACCCACCUCUACUUACAAACUAAAACAUUCUCCUAACUUAGUAUAGGUGAUAGAAAAGUUUACUCCCGGCGCAUUAGAGACUUUGUACCGUAAGGGAAAGAUGAAAUAAUAAUGAAAACCUAAGCAAYAGACAGCAAAGAUAAACYCUUGUACCUCUUGCAUCAUGAUUUAGCAAGAACAACCAAGCAAAACGAAUUGAAGCUUGCCCUCCCGAAACCUAAGCGAGCUACUUGUAGGCAGCUACAUCCGAGCGAACCCGUCUCUGUUGCAAAAGAGUGGGAUGACCUACUAGUAGAGGUGAAAAGCCAAUCGAGCUAGGUGAUAGCUGGUUGCCUGUGAAACGAAUCUAAGUUCACCCUUAAUCCCAACUCCAAGGACCACCAACCAACCCCCACGUAAUGGAUUAAGAGCAAUUCAAAGGAGGUACAGCCCCUUUGAAGCAGAACACAAUCUCCUGUAGCGGAUAAUAUACCCUAACCCUACCCCAACUUGUAGGCCUUUAAGCAGCCACCAACAAAGAAUGCGUCAAAGCUCCUUUCCCCUAAAAAUANNAAAACAGCAUGACUCCCUCCACACUAACAGGCCAACCUAUCACAAUAGGAGAACCAAUGCUAGAAUGAGUAACUAGGAUUAUCUCCUCUAAAGCGCAAACUUACAUCACUACAUUAUUAACAGCACCUAAUUAAUACUACAACCUCAACAAGCCCGCACAUUAAAACCACUCUGUUAGCCCAACCCAGGAGCGCCCACUAGAAAGACUAAAAUCUGUAAAAGGAACUAGGCAAACCCAAGACCCGACUGUUUACCAAAAACAUAGCCUUCAGCAAGCCCAGUAUUGAAGGUGAUGCCUGCCCAGUGACUAUAGUUUAACGGCCGCGGUAUCCUAACCGUGCGAAGGUAGCGCAAUCAAUUGUCCCAUAAAUCGGGACCUGUAUGAAAGGCUAAACGAGGCCUUAACUGUCUCUCACAGAUAGUCAGUGAAAUUGAUCUCCCUGUGCAAAAGCAGGAAUAAAUACAUAAGACGAGAAGACCCUGUGGAACUUAAAAAUCAGCAGCCACCACGAAUAAAUACCCCCCUACCAGGCCCACAGCCACAAACCAAAGUACUGGCUCACAUUUUUCGGUUGGGGCGACCUUGGAGAAUAAAAAAUCCUCCAAAAACAAGACCACACCUCUUAACCAAGAGCAACCACUCAAAGUACUAACAGUAACCAGACCCAAUAAAAAUUGACCAAUGGACCAAGCUACCCCAGGGAUAACAGCGCAAUCUCUCCUAAGAGCCCCUAUCGACGGAGAGGUUUACGACCUCGAUGUUGGAUCAGGACAUCCUAAUGGUGCAGUCGCUAUUAAGGGUUCGUUUGUUCAACGAUUAAUAGUCCUACGUGAUCUGAGUUCAGACCGGAGCAAUCCAGGUCGGUUUCUAUCUAUGCUACACUUUCCCUAGUACGAAAGGACCGGAAAAGUAAGGCCAAUGCUACAUGCACGCCUUCUCCUUAAAUAAUGCCCCCAACUAAAUUAUAAAAGGAACACCACAUGAUNUCUCAAGCCCCAGAAAAGGGCC
RNAcentral lists this ribosomal RNA (1603 nucleotides) under Circus teauteensis (Eyles's harrier). Its description in RNAcentral is "16S ribosomal RNA". It matches the Rfam family "Bacterial large subunit ribosomal RNA", at positions 581 to 2829 of the family's 2925-position model. The record is from RNAcentral. Lineage: Eukaryota; Metazoa; Chordata; Aves; Accipitriformes; Accipitridae.